This 370-nucleotide unclassified non-coding RNA is filed under the name uncultured Weeksellaceae bacterium. RNAcentral's name for it is "contains 16S-23S intergenic spacer region". Lineage: Bacteria; Pseudomonadati; Bacteroidota; Flavobacteriia; Flavobacteriales; Weeksellaceae. The record is from RNAcentral.
UCUCUACUUGCGUAGGCAGUCUCACUAGAGUCCUCAACUGAAUGGUAGCAACUAGUGACAGGGGUUGCGCUCGUUGCAGGACUUAACCUAACACCUCACGGCACGAGCUGACGACAACCAUGCAGCACCUUGAAAAUUGCCCGAAGGAGGAUCUAUUUCUAAAUCUGUCAAUUCCCAUUUAAGUCUUGGUAAGGUUCCUCGCGUAUCAUCGAAUUAAACCACAUAAUCCACCGCUUGUGCGGGCCCCCGUCAAUUCCUUUGAGUUUCAUUCUUGCGAACGUACUCCCCAGGUGGCUUACUUAUCACUUUCGCUUGGUCUCUGAAUCCGAAAAUCCAAAAACGAGUAAGCAUCGUUUACGGCGUGGACUAC